Molecule: RNA transcript, 2526 nt
Organism: Cercocebus atys (sooty mangabey)
Lineage: Eukaryota; Metazoa; Chordata; Mammalia; Primates; Cercopithecidae
Gene: IGSF6
Gene name: immunoglobulin superfamily, member 6
Exons: 5
Source: RefSeq, a predicted model, not a curated record
AGCUGAGGCUGCAAUGAGCUGAAUCUUGCCACUGCACACCCACCUGGGUGAUAGAGACCCUGUCUCAAAAAAAGGGGGGAAGGCAGGUGUCUUUGGAUUCAAAACUGGAGUACAAAAAGUUAAUAAUAGACAAUUUACUUCUUCACGGCAUUAGAAUGUGUUGUUUACUAACUUUUCUCUUGUCUCUACACAAAGCUACUUCUCCUUCUGCUGUUUCUUUGUUCCCAGCCAUUACUGGCCCAGAGUGGCACCCACAGCAAUGAACUGCAAUCUUGCCACUGCACUCCAGCCUGGAUGAUAGAGACCCUGUCUCAAAAAAAAGUGGGGAAGGAAGGUGUCUUUGAAUUCAAAACUGGAGUACAACUAGUUAAUAAUAGACAAUUUAUUUCUUCACUGCACUAGAAUGUGUUGUUUACUAACUUUUCUCUUGUCUCUACACAAAGCCACUUCUCCUUCUGCUGUGUCUUUGUUCCCAGCAGUUACUGGCCCAGAGUGGCACCCACAGCAGAUACCCUGGACAGUGACUGAACUGUUCUGAAAAAUCCAAGUAUGAAUUAUCUGUCAAACAGUACUCCUUCUUCCUGGGAAUAUGUGCUACGUGUAAAUCAAAAUCUCACCCAAAAACAUCUAACACCUAUGAGGACUGUAAAAUCCAUGAAAAAAAAAUGAUAUGCACAUUUCUAAAUGUGCUCCAGGCCAAAAUCUCAACGUUAAAUGGUGAAGCUGAGUUACAAACCAUCCUUGCACAAUUUCAAAAAGUUCCUGAUUAUGGUUCCUUCAUAAGAGGUUCCUCUCUUCAGCUCUUCCCUUCUGAAAAAAGAAAGCCAACUUUCAAAUAUACACCCCAGCCCGCCCCGGCACACACAGAAAUGGGGACUGUGAGCAGAAGCAACAUCGCGCGCCAUCUGCAAACCAACCUCAUUCUAUUUUGUGUCGGUGCUGUGGGCACCUGUACUGUUUCUGUCACACAACCAUGGUACCUAGAAGUGGACUACACUCACGAGGCCGUCACCAUAAAGUGUACCUUCUCCGCAACCGGAUGCCCUUCUGAGCAACCAACACGCCUGUGGUUUCGCUACGGGACUCAACAGCCUGAGAACCUGUGCUUGGACGGGUGCAAAAGUGAGGCAGACAAGUUCACAGUGAGGGAAGCCUUCAUGGAAAACCAAGUUUCCCUCACUGUAAACAGAGUGACUGCAAACGACAGUGCAAUUUACAUCUGUGGAAUAGCAUUCCCCAGUGUGCCGGAAGCGAGAGCUAAGCAGACGGGAGGAGGGACCACACUGGUGGUAAGAGAAAUUAAGCUGCUCAGCAAGGAACUGUGGAGCUUCCUGACAGCUCUUGUAUCACUGCUCUCUGUCUAUGUGACCGGUGUAGGCGUGGCCUUCAUACUCCUCUCCAAAGGAACACCACCUGCAGAAACCACCACCUGCAGAAGAGGUCUUUCGAAGAAGGCAUCAUACAUUCUCAUCACUGAAAUUAUUAGCCAGAGGACACAAUUUGCAGUGUUUUCUCUUUAAAGCCCAGUAACAUGGGAUUAAGAAGAGAGCCAUCCACUAUGCUAUCUUUCUGCUAUAGGGGUGAGGUGUGGGCAGGUGGGGGGUAAGAUAUUACUGUUAUCUACGAAAGCUUUAAGAACAGUCUUGAAGAACAAAAAUGGGUUGAUGAAGAGACUAAAAGCCGCCUUAAAAUCUUCAAAAAGGGCUAACGUUAUUGAGAAAGAAAACCUUUUGGCUAUGCGUAUAAGAAGGGAGAUAUAUACCAUUAUGUUAGGAUUACUAUAAAUCCUACAAUCAACAUCAGUUUGUUCAAUUAGUUUUUAAUGGCAUAAAAGCAUCUCGGAAGUGAUGUAAAAAUUAUUAACUCUUAUUGUAUAUCAUUUAAAUAUUAAGUUAGUUUAAUCUUAUUAGGGCAUGUGAUACCUGCCGCCAUUGUUAUGAGUACAUACAAUGUUUCACAGACUUUCCUUCUCUUCUUGGCAGUCAAAAUCCAAACCUCUAAGAAACAAAGAAAUAAAAGAAGACUCACAAAAGGUACAGACCAACACUUGCAAAAUAUUUUUUAAAUUGUGGCUGGUUGUAACUAUUUCAAAACUGAAAUAUUUUUAGUUUUUAAAUAUUUAAAUGUUAAGUUUAAACAGAGUAUCAAGGUAAUUUUCAACCAUAGAUACUGUUUCCUAUUGUUGAGAAACUCAAUGACAAAAUAAUCUCAAGGGGUAAACUGUGACUUAAAUUGGACAGUUCUCAACCAUAAAUUCCAUUUAAAGUUCUCAAAUACAAAAGAGUUAACGGUAGGCAUAGAUGUGUUGGGGGAGGCAGUAGUUUUUGAGACCGGUGGCAAUAAAGCAAGAAAAGUUCUGAUGAUGUGUAGUUAUCAUCGCUUAUAUUCCCAAAGGACAGAUUUUUUUUUCUCGUUUGUCUUUAUAGAAGAGUGUUCGGCGUAUUUUUCAGGAAAUUGCUCAAGAACUAUACCAUAAGAGACAUGUGGAAACAAACCAACGAUCUGAGAAAGACAACACCACUUAUG